This 201-nucleotide non-coding RNA is filed under the name Chlorocebus sabaeus (green monkey). The record is from Rfam by way of RNAcentral. Lineage: Eukaryota; Metazoa; Chordata; Mammalia; Primates; Cercopithecidae.
GCCGGGCGUGGUGGCUGACAUCUGUAAUUCCAGCACUUUGGGAGGCUGAGGCAGGCAGAUCACUUGAGCCCAGGAGAUGGAGGUUGCGGUGGGCUGAGAUUGUGCCAUUGCACUCCAGNNNNNNNNNNCUGGAGUGCAAUGGCACAAUCUCAGCCCACCGCAACCUCCAUCUCCUGGGCUCAAGCGAUUCUCCUGCCUCAG